Molecule: ribosomal RNA, 465 nt
Filed under: uncultured bacterium
Lineage: Bacteria
Description: partial 16S ribosomal RNA
Rfam family: Bacterial small subunit ribosomal RNA
Source: RNAcentral
GACGAACGCUGGCGGCGUGCUUAACACAUGCAAGUCGAACGGAAAGGCCCUGCUUGCUGGGUACUCGAGUGGCGAACGGGUGAGUAACACGUGGGUGAUCUGCCCUGCACUUCGGGAUAAGCCUGGGAAACUGGGUCUAAUACCGGAUAGGAGCCAUUUUUAGUGUGAUGGUUGGAAAGUUUUUUCGGUGUAGGAUGAGCUCGCGGCCUAUCAGCUUGUUGGUGGGGUAAUGGCCUACCGAGGCGGCGACGGGUAGCCGGCCUGAGAGGGUGGACGGCCACAUUGGGACUGAGAUGCGGCCCAGACUCCUACGGGAGGCAGCAGUGGGGAAUAUUGCACAAUGGGCGCAAGGCUGAUGCAGAGACGCCGCGUGGGGGAUGACGGCCUUCGGGUUGUAAAAUCCUUUCGCUAGGGACGAAGCUUUUUGUGACGGUACCUAGAUAAGAAGCACCGGCUAACUACGUG